AUCCUGGCUCAGGAUGAACGCUGGCGGCGUGCCUAAUACAUGCAAGUCGAGCGAAUGGAUUAAGAGCUUGCUCUUAUGAAGUUAGCGGCGGACGGGUGAGUAACACGUGGGUAACCUGCCCAUAAGACUGGGAUAACUCCGGGAAACCGGGGCUAAUACCGGAUAACAUUUUGAACCGCAUGGUUCGAAAUUGAAAGGCGGCUUCGGCUGUCACUUAUGGAUGGACCCGCGUCGCAUUAGCUAGUUGGUGAGGUAACGGCUCACCAAGGCAACGAUGCGUAGCCGACCUGAGAGGGUGAUCGGCCACACUGGGACUGAGACACGGCCCAGACUCCUACGGGAGGCAGCAGUAGGGAAUCUUCCGCAAUGGACGAAAGUCUGACGGAGCAACGCCGCGUGAGUGAUGAAGGCUUUCGGGUCGUAAAACUCUGUUGUUAGGGAAGAACAAGUGCUAGUUGAAUAAGCUGGCACCUUGACGGUACCAACCAGAA
RNAcentral lists this ribosomal RNA (491 nucleotides) under Bacillus cereus. RNAcentral describes it as "bacterial SSU rRNA". It matches the Rfam family "Bacterial small subunit ribosomal RNA", at positions 16 to 488 of the family's 1533-position model. The record is from RNAcentral. Lineage: Bacteria; Bacillati; Bacillota; Bacilli; Caryophanales; Bacillaceae.